GUGUACGGCCAUUCCGCCCUGAACGAGCUCCAUCCCAUCUGAUCUCGGAAGCUAAGCAGGGUCGGGCCUGGUUAGUACUUGGAUGAGAGACCACCUAGGAAGACCAGGUGCUAUAGAUG
This 119-nucleotide ribosomal RNA is filed under the name Pteropus alecto (black flying fox). The record is from RNAcentral. Lineage: Eukaryota; Metazoa; Chordata; Mammalia; Chiroptera; Pteropodidae.